AGAGUUUGAUCAUGGCUCAGAACAAACGCUGGCGGCGUGCCUAAUACAUGCAAGUCGAACGAGGAAGUAUCUUCGGAUAUUGUACUAGUGGCGUACGGGUGAGUAACGCGUGGAUAAUCUUCCUCUAGGUGGGGAAUAACCAGUCGAAAGAUUGGCUAAUACCGCAUAAGACCACAGGGGCUUCGGUCCAAGGGGUUAAA
RNAcentral lists this ribosomal RNA (200 nucleotides) under uncultured bacterium. RNAcentral's name for it is "partial 16S ribosomal RNA". It matches the Rfam family "Bacterial small subunit ribosomal RNA", at positions 8 to 205 of the family's 1533-position model. The record is from RNAcentral.